AUGGCCAUGGGGCGCUCAAGGGUGUAAGCUCGGAGGCGGGUUGUCUCUGGAUGUUGGCAUAUCUCUGACAUCGGUCACACUUUCUGACGUAUUCAAUGGAGUCACGAUACAUUGUCGGCCAGUAAUACCCUUGGCGGAGCAACUUGUGGGAUAAGGAUCUAGCCCCCAGAUGGCUUUCGCAGAUUCCUUCGUGCACCUCCCACAAGGCGUAGUCAGCUUUCGAAGGUCGGAGACAUUUUAAAAGGGGCAAAGAGUAUGAUCUCUUGUACAACUUGUCCUCAUAAAGGAUGUAUCGGGAGGUUUGAUUUCUGAGCUUCCGAGCCUCUUUUGCAUCAUGAGGGAGAAUCCCGUCUCUGAGAUAUGCCACCAGUGGGUCGAUCCAACUGGGUUCAUGGCC
Molecule: long non-coding RNA, 397 nt
Filed under: Elaeis guineensis (African oil palm)
Lineage: Eukaryota; Viridiplantae; Streptophyta; Magnoliopsida; Arecales; Arecaceae
Description: long non-coding RNA (EGUI_LNC078137)
Source: RNAcentral